RNAcentral lists this ribosomal RNA (465 nucleotides) under Vreelandella stevensii. RNAcentral's name for it is "partial 16S ribosomal RNA". It matches the Rfam family "Bacterial small subunit ribosomal RNA", at positions 338 to 795 of the family's 1533-position model. Lineage: Bacteria; Pseudomonadati; Pseudomonadota; Gammaproteobacteria; Oceanospirillales; Halomonadaceae. The record is from RNAcentral.
CCUACGGGUGGCAGCAGUGGGGAAUAUUGGACAAUGGGGGGAACCCUGAUCCAGCCAUGCCGCGUGUGUGAAGAAGGCCCUCGGGUUGUAAAGCACUUUCAGUGAGGAAGAACGCCUGGUGGUUAAUACCCAUCAGGAAAGACAUCACUCACAGAAGAAGCACCGGCUAACUCCGUGCCAGCAGCCGCGGUAAUACGGAGGGUGCGAGCGUUAAUCGGAAUUACUGGGCGUAAAGCGCGCGUAGGUGGCUUGAUAAGCCGGUUGUGAAAGCCCCGGGCUCAACCUGGGAACGGCAUCCGGAACUGUCAAGCUAGAGUGCAGGAGAGGAAGGUAGAAUUCCCGGUGUAGCGGUGAAAUGCGUAGAGAUAGGGAGGAAUACCAGUGGCGAAGGCGGCCUUCUGGACUGACACUGACACUGAGGUGCGAAAGCGUGGGUAGCAAACAGGAUUAGAUACCCGGGUAGUC